CCUACGGGAGGCAGCAGUGAGGAAUAUUGGUCAAUGGCCGUAAGGCUGAACCAGCCAAGUCGCGUGCAGGAAGAAGGAUCUAUGGUUUGUAAACUUCUUUUAUAGGGGAAUAAAGGUAUCCACGUGUGGAUUUUUGCAUUUACCCUAUGAAUAAGCAUCGGUUAACUCCGUGCCAGCAGCCGCGGUAAUAAGGAGGAUGCGAGCAUUAACCGGGUUUAUUGGGUUUAAAGGGUGCGGAGGUUGUUUUUUAAGUCAGCGGUGAAAGUUUGUGGGUCAACCAUCACAUUGCCGUUGAAACUUGAAGACUUGAGUGUGUUUGAGGUAGGCGGAAUGCGUGGUGUAGCGGUGAAAUGCAUAGAUAUCACGCAGAACUCCGAUUGCGAAGGCAGCUUACUAAGCCAUAACUGACACUGAGGCACGAAAGCGUGGGGAUCAAACAGGAUUAGAUACCCUUGUAGUC
Molecule: ribosomal RNA, 460 nt
Filed under: uncultured bacterium
Lineage: Bacteria
Description: partial 16S ribosomal RNA
Rfam family: Bacterial small subunit ribosomal RNA
Source: RNAcentral